AGUGAACGCUGGCGGUAGGCCUAACACAUGCAAGUCGAACGGCAGCACAGUAAGAGCUUGCUCUUACGGGUGGCGAGUGGCGGACGGGUGAGGAAUACAUCGGAAUCUACUUUUUCGUGGGGGAUAACGUAGGGAAACUUACGCUAAUACCGCAUACGACCUACGGGUGAAAGCAGGGGAUCUUCGGACCUUGCGCGAUUGAAUGAGCCGAUGUCGGAUUAGCUAGUUGGCGGGGUAAAGGCCCACCAAGGCGACGAUCGGUAGCUGGUCUGAGAGGAUGAUCAGCCACCCUGGAACUGGGACACGGUCCAGACUCCUACGGGAGGCAGCAGUGGGGAAUAUUGGACAAUGGGCGGAAGCCUGGUCCAGCCAUACCGCGUGGGUGAAGAAGGCCUUCGGGUUGUAAAGCCCUUUUGUUGGGAAAGAAAAGCAGCAGGUUAAUACCCCGCUGUUCUGACGGUACCCAAAGAAUAAGCACCGGCUAACUUCGUG
Molecule: ribosomal RNA, 492 nt
Filed under: uncultured bacterium
Lineage: Bacteria
Description: partial 16S ribosomal RNA
Rfam family: Bacterial small subunit ribosomal RNA
Source: RNAcentral